RNA transcript from Coregonus clupeaformis (lake whitefish), 7324 nucleotides. It is a transcript of the gene named dysferlin, limb girdle muscular dystrophy 2B (autosomal recessive), with no coding region annotated. The transcript is spliced from 59 exons. The record is from RefSeq and is a predicted model, not a curated record. Lineage: Eukaryota; Metazoa; Chordata; Actinopteri; Salmoniformes; Salmonidae.
UGUCGGGAGACAGCAGCAACAGUCACAGACCGUCCCAGACACAGUCUCUCUGUCUCUCUCUCUCUCUCUCUGUCUCUCUCUCUGUCUCUCUCUCUGUCUCUCUGUCUCUCUCUCUGUCUCUCUCUCUGUCUCUCUGUCUCUCUCUCUGUGUCUCUCUGUCUCCCAGUGGACUGCGCAGUAAGGAUACUGCCAGUGUGUGUGUGUCGGGCCGGAAGGUCCAGGUGAUCCAGGUCUACACAGUGUGUGUACGAUGCUGCGAGUGUUUAUCCUGUGUGCUGAGAGGCUUCAUACAGAAGAUGAUGACAUCAGUGAUGCCUACUGCCGAGUGGUCUAUGAAGGAGCGAAAAAGAAGACAAAAGUCAUCAAGAAUAACAUCAACCCUGUCUGGAAUGAGGGUUUUGAGUGGGACCUGAAGGGAAUACCUCUGGAUUCAGGAGCUGAGCUUCAUUUGGUGGUCAAGGACCAUGAGAAGAUGGGGAGGAACAGGUUCCUGGGGGAGAGUAGAGUGGCUCUCAGGGAUAUCCUCAACUCUCCUAACCUGGCUGCUAGCUUCACUGUGUCCCUACUGGAUACCAAGAGGAACAAUACUGGGGCCACACUGAGCCUGCAGGUUUCCUACAUCCCUCCCCCAGGAAUGACUCCUUUCUUCCAGCCUCCGCCUCAACCAGAGGCCCGAGAGAAACCUGUGGAGCUGGACACAGUCACAGUCUUCUCGUUGGACACCAUGGGUGAGGAGGACACAGAAAGCAUGUUGAUGAUGGAGCAGACAGAUGACCCAGACACAGGGAGUCACCAGGGGCCCCAUCAGGGAGGCCAGGACGGCCAAGAGACCCCCACAGCCCAGACCCCUAAACGGGCCCCCCCUAACUACACCCCUGGAGUGAAGAGGAAGAAGAGACAACAGAGCAGCAAGACACCGCUCCCCAACAAACCACAGGACCUGCAGGUGCGCGUUCGGGUCAUCGAAGGCCGACAGUUGCCGGGGAUCAACAUCAAACCGGUCGUCAAGGUUACUGUUGGCGGACAGACCAAGAGGACUCGCAUCAGGAAAGGAAACAACCCAGUGUUUGAUGAGACUUUCUUUCUGAACUUCUACGAGACUCCGUCAGACCUCUUCGAUGAGCCCAUCUUCAUUACUGUUUUUGACUCCAAGUCACUGCGAACUGACUCAGUGAUAGGUGAAUUCAAGCUUGAUGUUGGCACAGUCUACAACGAGAGCAGACACGCCUUCUUGAGGAAGUGGCUCCUCCUCUCUGAACCUGACGACCUCUCGGCCGGGGCCAAAGGUUACCUGAAGGUCAGCCUCUUCGUAUUGGCUGCAGGCGACGAAGCUCCACUGGAUAAGAAGGAAGGAGUUGUGGAUAAGGAAGACAUAGAGGGGAACCUGUUGCGUCCUGCUGGACUCACACUCAGAGGAGCCAUCUUCACACUCAAAGUGUUCAGAGCUGAGGAUCUGCCUCAGAUGGACGAUGCCUUUAUAGAUGGAAUGAGACAGGUCCUAGGAUUCGACAGCAACAGGAAGAACCUGGUCGACCCCUUAGUUGAAGUCAACUUCGCUGGAAAAACGGUGUGCAGUAAGAUCAUGGAGAAGAAUGCCAACCCUCAGUGGAACCAAAGCCUGGCCAUGCCCAUACGGUUCCCCUCUAUGUGUGAGAAGAUGAGGGUUCGGGUCCUGGACUGGGACCGAGCCAGCCACAACGAUGUCAUCGGGACCGCCCAUCUCUGCAUGUCUAAGAUCUCCGCCCCGGGAGGAGCGGUAGAGGGUGAGACACUGGUCUAUACAGAUGAAUUUGUCCCAAGGAACCUCCAAAGUUUCAUGGAUGACAGUCUGGGUUUCCUUCCGACCUUCGGCCCCUGCUACGUCAACCUGUACGGAAGCCCCAGGGAGUUCACCUCCUUCAACGACCCCCACGAGGCUCUCAACUUGGGCAAGGGUGAGGGAGUAGCGUAUCGUGGUCGUGUUCUGAUGGAGCUCAGUACCAAACUGGUGGACAUGGUGCAGGCGAGUGUAGAGGACAUACCCAACGAUGACUUACUGGUCGUACAGAAAUUCAUGCGUAAGAGAAAGUAUUCUCUCUUUGCGUCGUUCUACUCUGCCACGCUCCUCCAAGACGUUGACGACGUGAUACAGUUCGAGGUCAGCAUCGGUAACUACGGCAACAAGUUUGACAAUACCUGUCUUCCUCUGGCCUCAACGACGCAGUUCAGCAGAGCUGUGUUCGAUGGCUGCCACUACUACUACCUGCCAUGGGGUAACGUGAAACCAGUGGUGGUCCUGUCUUCAGAGUGGGAGGACAUCAGACCACGAAUAGAAGCACUCAACAUGAUACUAGCUAUGGUCGACCGCCUGGAAUCUAACCUAAAGGAAGUCCAGUUGGAGCUGAAGUCAGGAAGUGAACUGGAGGAGGUGGAGCUAAAAGUGGUCAACCUAUUGGAUCAGGUCAUCGCUGAUUGCAGGGAGGAGCUCCCAUGGUUAGACGGCUGGUCAUGUGUAACUCCGUUAGACCGUGCCCUCAGACACCUGAGACUGAAUCACCUACAACAGAUAGAGGAGGCUGCCACAGCUCUGAAACAUGGACCUGCUACUGACCUGUCUACAGUACUGGACCAAGCAGAAGACUGGGCACUCAGGCUACGCACCAUGGCUGAGGAGCCCCAGAACAGUCUGCCAGACAUAGUGAUCUGGAUGCUACAGGGAGAUCGUAGAGUGGCCUACCACCGUAUCCCUGCACACACUGUCCUCUUCUCACAGCAACACUGUGGCAAGCACUGUGGAGAGCUACAGACUGUCUUUCUGAAGUAUCCCCAGGGUGGAUCAGGAGAUAGGAAGCUUCCGGCCCAGAUCAGAGUGAAGGUCUGGUUCGGUAUGGCUGCAGACGUAAAACACUUCAAUCGAUUUGCUGAAGGCAAACUGUCUGUGUUCGCUGAGACGUAUGAGAACCAGACCAAGCUGGCUCUGGUGGGUAGCUGGGGGACCACGGGACUGACCUACCCCAGGUUCAGUGACGUUACAGGCAGGGUGAAGUUACCCAAGGAGUCCUUCAAACCCUCACCGGGCUGGAGCUGGGCUGGGGAGUGGGUCAUCAGCCCUGAGAAGACGUUGCUGUAUGAUACAGACGCAGGUCACAUGUCCUUUACAGAAGAGGUGUUUGAGAACCAGAUGAGGUUGCCAGGGGGACAGUGGAUCGGCAUGCCAGAAGGAUACACAGACGUGAACGGGGAGAAGGCGGUGCCUAAGGAUGAGGUGGAGUGUCCCCCAGGGUGGGUGUGGUCUGAUGAAGAGUGGAGUGAAGACCUGAACCGGGCUGUGGACGACCAAGGGUGGGAGUAUGGCCUGACUAUUCCCCCAGAUCGGAGGCCCAAGGCCUGGGUACCGGCUGAGAAGAUGUACCAUACCAUCCGCCGUCGCCGCUGGAUACGCCUCAGACGCAGAGAUAUGCAGAAGAUGGAGGCCCUGAAGAAGCAGCGGCCAGACGAAGCAGAGAGAGAGGGAUGGGAGUAUGCGUCUCUGUUUGGGUGGAGGUUUCAUCUUAAACCCCGGAAGACAGAUUCAUUCAGGAGGAGGAGAUGGAGACGUCGCAUGGAGCCACUGGAGAAGACUGGACCUGCUGCUAUCUUCGCCCUGGAGUGUUCACUGGGGAGUGUGAUGGAGGAUAAGAGUGAUGAGAAAUCUGUGACGGCGACCUUUGGGGUCAACCGUCCUACCAUAUCCUGCCUCUUCCACAGUGGGACUCGCUACCACCUGCGCUGUUACCUGUACCAAGCCAGAGAGCUGCUGGCCAUGGAUAAAGACAGCUUCUCAGAUUCCUAUGCCAUAGUGUCGUUCCUCCACCAGAGCCAGAAGACAGUGACAGUCCGUAACACGUUGAACCCCACCUGGGACCAGACACUCAUCUUCUACGAGGUGGAGGUGUUCGGAGACCCUGAUGUCACAGAGAGAAACCCUCCUAACAUAGUGGUGGAGCUGUACGAUCAGGAUACAUACGGGGCAGAUGAGUUUAUGGGUCGCUGUGUGUGUCAGCCCUCCAUGACCCCCUCCCCUCGUCUGGCCUGGUAUCCAAUCAGGAUGGGAGAGAGGAGCGCAGGAGAACUUCUGGCUGCCUUUGAACUCAUACGACGAGAGAAGCCCUCUGUUCAUCACAUCCUUGGACAGGAGGGAGACAUCCCCCCUCACAAUAUUGAAGAGGCCUUUCUCACUGGAUUCCUCUCAGAAAACCAGCAAUGGCCCAAGGAUUCCGACCUGCCCUACCCGCCCCCCCAGAGAGAACCCAACAUCUACAUGGUUCCUCAGGGGAUCAAACCUGUUCUACAACGUACUGCUAUAGAGAUCUUGGCGUGGGGAGUGCGUAACCUAAAGAGCUUCCAGCUAGCUAGCGUUACUUCUCCCAGCCUGCAGGUGGAGUGUGGAGGCAGCAUGGUUCAGUCCUGCGUCAUACGAUCCACAAAGAAGAAACCCAACUUUGACAUCAACACACUCUUCAUAGAUGUGAGACUGCCCUGUGAGGAGCUCUAUAUGCCUCCUAUCAUUCUGAAGAUCAUAGACAACAGACAGUUUGGGAGGAAACCAGUGGUGGGACAGUGUACCAUCAGGACCCUGGAGGACUAUCGCUGUACCCCUGAGGAAGAGGGGGAGGAAGGAGAGGAGGAGCUUGAUGAGAUUGUCCAGACGCCUCGUGACGAUGUUCUGAUCGACAUCGAUGACAAGGAACCCCUCAUCCCCUCACAGUUUACAGACGGAACCAGUUCUGCAAUUAUUAACAUCUCUCGCUCUUCCAGUCAACAUCUCUUACAGUGGGAGGAGGAAGUGAUGGACUGGUGGAGUAAGUUCUAUGCUUCGACCGGAGAGAGGAACAAGUGUGGAAACUACCUGGAGAAGGGAUGUGACACACUACAGGUGUAUGACAGGCCACUGGAAAAGAUUGAGGGAUUUGAGAAGCUGUCAGACUUCUGCCAGACCUUCAAGCUGUACCGUGGGAAGAACCAAGAUGAAGGAGAGGACCCUUCUAUAGUCGGAGAGUUCAAGGGUAUGUUCAAGAUCUACCCUCUCCCAGAUGACCCCUCGACCCCUUCGCCUCCCCGACAGUUCCGUCAACUACCCCCCAACGGCAUGGAACAGUGUCUGGUCAGAGUCUACAUCAUACAAGCCACCGGUCUACAACCUAAAGACGCCAACGGAAAGUGUGAUCCGUAUGUGAAAAUCACUCUGGGCAACAAGUCCAUCAACGACCAUGACAACUACCUACCCUGUACCCUGGACCCUGUGUUUGGAAAGUUGUUUGAGCUGUCCUGCUCCCUGCCCAUAGAGAAAGACCUGAGGAUCCAGCUGUAUGAUUAUGACAUGUUGACUAAAGACGAGAAGGUCGGAGAGACGGUUAUUGAUCUGGAGAACAGAUUCCUGUCCCGCUACGGAGCGUGCUGCGGCCUUCCCCAGUCCUACUGCCUGUCUGGCGUGAACCAGUGGAGAGACCAGUUGAAGCCGUCUCAGCUGCUGGUCAGACUGUGUGAGAGGAGGCAAUACAAGAGACCAGUCUACAAACAGGACAGAGUCUUCUUCAGGGGACACGAAUACACUGCUGCUGACCUGGACGAUGCAAAGCCCCCCAACCCUCAUCUGGGACCCUUAGCGGAACGUUUGUCCCUUCUGAUCCUGCGUAGACAGGGCCUGGUGCCUGAACACGUAGAAACACGGCCCCUCUUUAGUCCUCUGCAGCCUGACAUAGAACAGGGGAGACUGCAGCUGUGGGUGGAUGUCUUCCCCAAGUCCCUGGGUCCUCCUGGGCCUCCCUUCAACAUUACACCACGCAAGGCCAAGAAGUUCUACCUGCGUUGCAUCAUAUGGAACACCAGUGAUGUCAUCCUGGAUGAUGUCAGCCUGACCGGGGAGAAGAUGAGUGACAUCUACAUCAAGGGGUGGCUCCACGGCCAUGAGGACAACAAACAGAAGACAGACGUCCACUAUCGCUCUUUAGGAGGAGAGGGUAACUUCAACUGGAGGUUCCUGUUCCCCUUCCACUACCUCCCAGCUGAACAACUCUGUACCAUCGAUAGGAAGGAACACUUCUGGAGUCUGGAUAAGAACGAGACGAAAGUUCCUCCUAAAAUCACCAUCCAGAUUUGGGACAACGACAAGUUCUCUUUCGACGACUACCUCGGUUGUCUAGAGAUGGAUCUUCAUCACAUGCAGCGACCAGCUAAAUCACCAGAGAAGUGCACCUUGGAAAUACUGUCACAGGGACAGGAGAAACUGGUGUCGCUGUUCCAGCAGAAGACGGUCAAGGGGUGGUGGCCGUGUGUGUGUGACAGCAACGGGGAAAAGAUCAUCGCUGGUAAAGUAGAGAUGUCUCUAGAGAUUGUUUCAGAGCAGGAGCAGGAUGAGAGACCGGCAGGACAGGGCAGAGAUGAACCCAACAUGAACCCUCACCUGGAGGAACCACAACGUCCAGAGACAUCGUUCCUGUGGUUCUCCUCUCCCUACAAGACGUUGAAGUACAUCCUGUGGGGGAGAUACAAAUUCCUCAUCCUCCUCUUCAUCCUCCUCUUCUUCGUCUUCCUCUUCAUCGGAGUCUUCCUCUACUCCUUCCCUAACUAUGCAGCCAUGAAGAUGGUGGGGCCGUUUAGUGGACCAGCCAAAGGAACUAAAUGAACAACUAGAUAAAAUAUAGAACAACGAGAGGAGAGGACGAGAGGAAAAACAGAGGAAGAGAAAGACACACAGUGAAAAUAACAACUGACUGAACAACAGAAAGAGAGAGAAGAGAGGAAAAGAGGGGUGACAGGUAGCCUAGCAGUUGAGUGUUAACAGCCACUGAAAGGAUGCUGGUUCGAAUCCCCGAGCCGACUAGGUGAAAAAUCCUAAUUGCUCCUGUAAGUGGCUCUGGAUAAGAGCAUCUGCUAAGUGACUAACAUGUAAAAUGUAAAUUUGAGAGAGGGUAGGGAAGUGAGGGAGGAAGAUCAACAAAUGACUUUUCCCACAUCUCGUCUGAUCUUGAAAAUCUCCCGCUACGUAGCCUGGUAGCUAGAUAGAACGACGCUGACACCCUGUUCUCUUCAUGGCAUCACGGCAACACUUUCCCAUCAAUCAUCUCUGCUGGACGCUCCUAUCUUUUUUUUUCCUUCAUGCGGAGAGUGGGAUAGAUCUGCCUCCCUCCUCUCUUUCAACCUUCCCUUGUUCCCUGUGCUGGGUUAAGUCAUGGAUUUGUUCAUCGUGCUCAGAGGCUGGUGAUUAUCAGAUGUCAUACUGUGUGUGGGACACACUCUCUCUCUCUCUGUCUCUCUCUCUCUCUGUCUCUUUCUCUCUCUCUCUCUCUCUCUCUCUCUCUCUCUC